AUGGAGGUUUGCCGAAGCCAUCCUAGCGGGUCAAUCCGAGAGCUGCGUUCCCAUUGGCUGCGCCAUGCUCCGCCUCGGCCGGCCUGCCGCUACCAUUGGCUCUGCGGAGUAUCAGGCUGGCUCUCAUUGGCUACCGAGGUGUCGCUCCCGCUCUCUCUGCUCCGGGGCCCGGGGAACUAUUUUCCAUUCGGCGGAGGGGGGUCGGGGAGGGGGUUUCGGCGGUGGCACCGUGCUCGCCGAGCGGCAGGCGGCGGAGGAUGCUGCGGCCGUUGGGGCCGCCGGGACGGCGCUGAGGCGUCGCUGUCCGCGCUGCGGCGUCAGCGUAAUCAUGUCCACAACUCAGAGAAGGAAUCUAGCAAGUUCAUGCUGAGGUAUAUUCGCAAGUCAAGAUACAGUGGCUCAUGUUUUUCUGGGUAAGAAAGAUAUCUGUGUGCUCUUAACUAUGACAAAAAGUAGUUAAACUUUAAAACUUAACUUUCAGAAAGUAUUUUGUCAAGCUGAUAUGGUGGUAAUUUUGUGAGUGGUUUGUUUUUGUUUGUUUUUAGUUGGGUUUUGGAGGCUUUUGGGCAAGCCUAGAGGAUUUCCAACCCACUUAACAGCCUAAACAUAUUUUGGAGUAAUAGUACAAAGGAAGAGGAAUAGCAAGCAACUUUCAAAUAAAAUACAUUACUGAACAGUGCA
This 681-nucleotide long non-coding RNA is filed under the name Numida meleagris (helmeted guineafowl). Its description in RNAcentral is "lncRNA (ENSNMEG00000016407.1)". Lineage: Eukaryota; Metazoa; Chordata; Aves; Galliformes; Numididae. The record is from RNAcentral.